Oxyura jamaicensis (ruddy duck) is the source of this 472-nucleotide long non-coding RNA. RefSeq lists it as uncharacterized. NCBI's taxonomy places the organism in Eukaryota, Metazoa, Chordata, Aves, Anseriformes, Anatidae. The record is from RefSeq and is a predicted model, not a curated record. The transcript is spliced from 2 exons.
UUUGGUGGGAGGGACUUCCUUGUAUUUUCACAUGUGGUUGCUGUCAGCAGGCUGAAAUCUUGAUAAGCUACGCAGCCAACCUGGCUGGCUUUACUGAAACCCUGCUGAAGAGAAAUCCUGAGCUGCAAAGCCGCCGUUUUGUUUCACACCACCUGCGGUUGCAGAGGACAACCGCACUCAGCAUCUGGCCCAAACUUAUUUCCAAGUGCAUCUCGGAUCCAUACGGAUUCCAUCCAAAGGUCAGCAGCCACAGUUUGUGAUGAGGAAUGUUCUGCUUUGGAGACACAAUGUUGUCACUGUGAUCUGCUUCCCCUGCCCAGAGCAAGCAGUCCAUUGUUCCCACUGAAUGCGAGAAAGGGCUCGAGAUCUUUGAAAUGGAAACUGCCUUUAAAUCCAAAUCAUUUAAAGCAUAGACACAGACUGAUGCUACUUACAAUAAGCAACUCUGAAAGACACUCUUUCUCCAUAGUUU